GGUUGCGAUCAUACCAGCACUAAUGCACCGGAUCCCAUCAGAACUCCGCAGUUAAGCCGUGCUUGGGCGAGAGUAGUACUAGGAUGGGUGACCCCCUAGGAAGUCCUCGUGUUGCAACCC
This 120-nucleotide ribosomal RNA is filed under the name Helianthus annuus (common sunflower). Lineage: Eukaryota; Viridiplantae; Streptophyta; Magnoliopsida; Asterales; Asteraceae. The record is from RNAcentral.